Molecule: long non-coding RNA, 482 nt
Filed under: Gouania willdenowi (blunt-snouted clingfish)
Lineage: Eukaryota; Metazoa; Chordata; Actinopteri; Blenniiformes; Gobiesocidae
Description: lncRNA (ENSGWIG00000020486.1)
Source: RNAcentral
CUCAGAUUCAACAGCUGGAGCUCCAGUGUCUCUCUCUUCACUUCCCUCUAAGGCUUCUUCAAGGACCUCUCUAGAUGUCUCAUUCCUGGGGCAAAACUCUUCCGCUUCUGCAUCCAGGGCAACUGAAACCUUUGGACACUGACUUUGUCUGCUGCAGUUCAAAAAAAGACACGUUUGCUUGGGACGGAUGUAGCAAUGAUGGAAAGGUGGUGGAGACAGGGCAACUAACUGACUCCAGUAAGUCUGCAUGUGUGACAGCGUCAUCACAAAGCCCCCAAGUUCUGGACGAGGAAGUUUGCAAUGUCUAAGACAAAGACAUUACCCUCUGCAGCACUGAAAAGAAAAAGGAGAAGAGAUGAUCUGAGCUGUUUGUGACCCAAUGUGAUGCAGCGGUUGGACAAAAGAGUGGACUAUCACCUUGAAUGGACUAUUCCUGUGAUCAGUAGCGGAGAGGAUGAGAAGAAAACGACGUAGUAGCUCCG